CGACCGACCCGCCGCCAUCACCGAUUCCCGGCAGCCAACACGGCAGGGGCGGGGGCGGGGCUGCGGGGGCGUGGCCGCGCGCUGAUUGGCUGCGGCGGCGUUCUCUAAACGCGGUGCGCGCGCAGAUCGCCGUGUUGGCUGCCGGGAACCGGUGAUGGCGGCGGGGCCUGCGGUUCGCUCUGAGUGUUGGUCGUUCCCACACCCAGAAUGGAAUCUGGAGGCAGCAGGAUGUGCACAGUGCUCCCAUUUCCUACAGUGCAAAGGGGCUGCAGGGAAUGAUUCCCCUGCUCUUGCAAAUCUGCCAAAACCUGCAGGGCACACAAGUGGGAGCUUCAGGAAUUUGCUGGCCUUGGGAGUGGAGCUCACAGGGUAUUGAGAGGAACAUAUCCCUCAAAUACAAUCUCUGUGCAUACACAAUAUCUGUCUGGACAGGCAGAUAAAGCAAUAAUCAGAUAUAUUCUGUAUCAUAUUGCUGCCCUCAGGAAACCCCCCCCGCCUUGCUCCAGCUAAAGCCGUGGAAUUUGUGUUUGUUUCCCUUGGGUUCAGGGUCAGGCUGUGCCUGUGUCCAGCCCAGAGGCUCAGAAAAGCAUUUCUCCCAUCCCACUGCAAUCUGCUGCUGCAGACAGGACCCAGGCACUGGUGGCACUGGGAGUGAACAGCAGAGUGUUUCCAGGGGCUCUCUGAAGGAUCACAAGUGUCCAAAGAAACCAGCAAAAGUGUCCACAAAAGUCCCAGUCCUUCAUCCCUGAAUGAGCUCGUUCAGCCCAGGAAAAACUGUCUGAGUUUUAUUUCCAUGGAAGGAGGUUUUUCCCACUUUAACGCCGGUUUAGUUCCAAACUGGUUUCUUCAUUUCCUCCUCCCAGUUUCCCUGAAGGACACUGACAGGAGCCAUGGACACUGACAGGGAUCACAGAGUUUGUCCCUUGGCCAUACAGCUCCUGUUGUUUGGCAGCACAGGAGAGGUUCAUU
Long non-coding RNA from Corapipo altera (White-ruffed manakin), 969 nucleotides. RefSeq lists it as uncharacterized. The transcript has 3 exons. NCBI's taxonomy places the organism in Eukaryota, Metazoa, Chordata, Aves, Passeriformes, Pipridae. The record is from RefSeq and is a predicted model, not a curated record.